This 253-nucleotide ribosomal RNA is filed under the name uncultured bacterium. Its description in RNAcentral is "partial 16S ribosomal RNA". It matches the Rfam family "Bacterial small subunit ribosomal RNA", at positions 524 to 776 of the family's 1533-position model. The record is from RNAcentral.
UACGGAGGUCCCGAGCGUUAGGCGGAAUCACUGGGCUUAAAGCGUGUGUAGGCGGAUCGUUAAGUACCUUGUGCAAUCCCACGGCUUAACCGUGGAACGGCUUGGUAUACUGGCGGUCUUGAGCCACUUAGGGGCUACCGGAACAAAUGGUGGAGCGGUGAAAUGCGUAGAUAUCAUGUGGAACGCCAAUGGUGAAAACAGGUAGCUGGGAGUGUGCUGACGCUGAGACACGAAAGCCAGGGGAGCAAACGGG